AGCAGAGUGACGUAGUGGAAGCGUGCUGGACCCAUAACCCAGAGGUCCGAGGAUCAAAACCUCGCUCUGCUA
RNAcentral lists this transfer RNA (72 nucleotides) under Orbicella faveolata. Its description in RNAcentral is "tRNA-Met". It matches the Rfam family "tRNA". From Rfam's summary of the family: Transfer RNA (tRNA) molecules are approximately 80 nucleotides in length. Their secondary structure includes four short double-helical elements and three loops (D, anti-codon, and T loops). Further hydrogen bonds mediate the characteristic L-shaped molecular structure. tRNAs have two regions of fundamental functional importance: the anti-codon, which is responsible for specific mRNA codon recognition, and the 3' end, to which the tRNAs corresponding amino acid is attached (by aminoacyl-tRNA synthetases). tRNAs cope with the degeneracy of the genetic code in two manners: having more than one tRNA (with a specific anti-codon) for a particular amino acid; and 'wobble' base-pairing, i.e. permitting non-standard base-pairing at the 3rd anti-codon position. Lineage: Eukaryota; Metazoa; Cnidaria; Anthozoa; Scleractinia; Merulinidae. The record is from RNAcentral.